AUGCUCACUUACACAGCACAUACACUGAGACUGGAAUAAUACAGAGAAGAUCAAUGUGUCUCCUGCACAAGGAUGACAGCCAAAUUCAUGAAACAUUUCAUAUUUUU
Molecule: small nuclear RNA, 107 nt
Organism: Prolemur simus (greater bamboo lemur)
Lineage: Eukaryota; Metazoa; Chordata; Mammalia; Primates; Lemuridae
Source: Ensembl